RNAcentral lists this unclassified non-coding RNA (879 nucleotides) under Lingula anatina. RNAcentral's name for it is "1,2-dihydroxy-3-keto-5-methylthiopentene dioxygenase, transcript variant X1". Lineage: Eukaryota; Metazoa; Brachiopoda; Lingulata; Lingulida; Lingulidae. The record is from RNAcentral.
AGAGUGCAAAUUAUUCACUGUUACACGCAGAACAUCAGCGUACAUUUUUUCACGUGGCGUAAUACUCUAUCUUUACCCACACUAGACCACAGUUUGACGGUCACAGUAGCGGCUGAAGGAACACAGAUCAUGGUUCGAGCCUGGUACUUCGAUAACGAUGAGGAGGGGAACAAGAAGCUCCCGCACAUGACCGAUCCGCCCCAGUUUGUGGAUUUAGAAGGUCUGAAGAAGAUUGGCGUGCUUUACUGGAAGGUGGACGUGGACGGUGACGACAUGGAGGACGGAGGUCUGGUACCCAAACUGAAGGAGGAGCGGGGCUACAAACACGGAGACAGCAUUGCCAUCAGCAGAGAGCUCAUGCCGGAUUACGUGGACGUGAGCAAAAUGCUCUACACCGAGCACUUGCACCCCGACGAGGAGAUUCGCUUGGCAGUGGACGGCGUUGCCUAUUUUGAUGUCAGAGAUCUGGAGGACAAGUGGAUCCGCAUCGAAAUUUCCAAGGGCGACCUGAUUAUUUUGCCAGCAGGAUUGUACCACAGAUUCACACUAGAACAGGAGAAGCGUUUUGUCAAACUGGAGCGCUUUUUCACAGAGAUCACGCGCUGGACGCCAUACAACCGUCCUGCAGACGAUCAUCCUUCCCGCGUGGCGUAUCUUAAAUCAAUGGAGAAACCCAAGGAGGAAGAGAAGAGGUUCAGCUGGUGCAACUUUCUCUAAGAUUUUAAAAAAUCUUUUAUUCCUAUUUUCAUGUUUUUAUUUCUUUCAUUUUACUUAUUUAUUUUUACUAAGUUACAUUCUUAGUGUGUGGGUUUUAUUUGAUUGAAUCUGAAACAUGGCGCAUGUCUGGGUUGAAAUGGUAUUUUUUAUUUAUUUAUUUAU